This is a long non-coding RNA of Gasterosteus aculeatus aculeatus (three-spined stickleback), 2896 nucleotides long. The record is from Ensembl. NCBI's taxonomy places the organism in Eukaryota, Metazoa, Chordata, Actinopteri, Perciformes, Gasterosteidae.
CACACACACACACACACACACACACACACACACGCGGCCACACAAAGGAUGUAAUUAUCUAACUUGCACACGGAACGGCUUUAACGGGCUGAGCGCCGUCGAACCCCCCCGACCUGGAACAGGAACAGUGGAAGUCUGACACGUUAUACAAGAGGUCGUGACCUUGUGAUGGAAUGGAUGAGGUCAUCUUAAGCUCCAGGAGAGAUUUUCUUCUUCUUCUCCUUCAGCUGCAGGAGCUUCCAGCAGCACGAAGGCUGAUUGAGAGCAGCUUCUCCCGCGUCGAACAAAUAAACUCAACAACAACACAGGUUCUUUUGCCUGUGAGUUUGGUGUUUAUCUGAACCCUGAGAUGAUCCAGAACGACCAGACAAGAAAACAACAUGCAUUUGUACAAAGUUCUACUAUAUUUUGCAUUAAUAAUCUUAAUCUACAGUGUUCGAAGCUCUAAAUAAAUCGUAGCGGAGAUGAAAGCGGUACUCGGGUAAACGUACCUGGUUAACCAGCCGGAUUGUGGCCCUGCAGAGCGCCGCUAUCCGUGGUGCUGACGCGCAGCGCAUCACCCCAAGCUCACCUGCAGGACUUACACACAUUACAGUCUUUUCUUCGCACUAAUCCCUGUGGCACUGGCGUGUUUCCUUUCCAACAUGCUUCAUGUACGCACGUAAAUUAUCUUUGAUUCUCUGCGUUUAUGAAUAUAUAACGUUGAGUUGUGUUUAUUUCAAAGUGUGUUUUUCUCUGUGUGUUGUAAAUGUACUUUUACUGCGUUUUGCUGUAUAAUAAUAAAUGAAAUUGAAAAAGAAUUUCAUGUUUUUUGGAGUCUUACUUUUUAGAAUUUGAGUGCAGUUUUAGAGUUGAAAAGAUUUCGCAAUGACAGUUUACUAGUGACUGGAACCGGACUUAAAAAGACACUAAAAUGUGUUGAAAAGCACCUAAAAAAGCAUUAAUAGUACUUUGAUAAACGCAACAAAGCUGUAAGAAAUGCAUCAACACACUAUAUGCUAAUUGAAGUAAGAUAUCCUUCAAAAAAUGGAAGGAUAUCUUACUUCUCUUCUUUCAGUCCUUUCCUUAAAUUGCUCGAGGAAAUGUAAGAACUGAACUUUUAAACCUCCAGACAAAGAUUGUGUGAUACGAUCAAAAUCCACAGUAAUCAGAUCGACGUUGUGCAAGAAAGGAAAUGUACGCACCAUCUUCUACACAAAGUGCAAAGUGUUAACACAACGCCGGCGUGUGUUUGCUCUCCGCUAGGCGGCGCCAUCGGGCCGGCGCACAGAGGGAGUCCGGCGCUCUCUCCCGGAGGGAGAGGGGAAGAGGAAGCAUAAAUCCCGCUGGUUCCUUAUCGUGUGCCCGAGGGUGUGAAGGAGGGAGGAAACGAGGAGGGAGGAGGCAGAUAGCGGCGGCGCUGAGGAGACGGGGUUGGAAAAAGAAAGGCUGAAAGGUGGAGGUUUAAAAACGAACAGGAGGGAAAAAAACAACAGCAGCAGAGAAGAAAAAGGAGAACGUGGAGCAGAGAAUUAUCUAGAAACGCGUUUAGGUCUGAAUGACCUCUGAGUGAUGGGGGAGACAGGUGGAAGUAGACGGAGGGGAGUGAUGGGGGAGACAGGUGGACGUAGAUGGAAGGGAGUGAUGGGGGAGACAGGUGGACGUAGACGGAGGGGAGUGAUGGGGAGACAGGUGGACGUAGACGGAGGGGAGUGAUGGGGGGGACAGGUGGACGUAGACGGAGGGGAGUGAUGGGGGAGACAGGUGGAAGUAGACGGAGGGGAGUGAUGGGGGAGACAGGUGGAAGUAGACGGAGGGGAGUGAUGGGGGAGACAGGAGGAAGUAGACUGAGGGGAGUGAUGGGGGAGACAGGUGGAAGUAGACGGAGGGGAGUGAUGGGGGAGACAGGUGGAAGUAGACGGAGGGGAGUGAUGGGGGAGACAGGUAGACGUAGACGGAGGGGAGUGAUGGGGGAGUAAGGAGGAAGUAGACGGACGGGAGUGAUGGGGGAGACAGGUGGAAGUAGACGGAGGGGAGUGAUGGGGGAGACAGGAGGAAGUAGACGGAGGGGAGUGAUGGGGGAGACAGGUGGACGUAGACGGAGGGGAGUGAUGGGGGAGACAGGUAGACGUAGAUGGAGGAGAGUGAUGGGGGAGACAGGUAGACGUAGACGGAGGGGAGUGAUGGGGGAGUAAGGAGGAAGUAGACGGACGGGAGUGAUGGGGGAGACAGGUGGACGUAGACGGAGGGGAGUGAUGGGGGAGACAGGUAGACGUAGAUGGAGGAGAGUGAUGGGGGAGACAGGUAGACGUAGACGGAGGGGAGUGAUGGGGGAGUAAGGAGGAAGUAGACGGAGGGGAGUGAUGGGGGAGACAGGUGGAAGUAGACGGAGGGGAGUGAUGGGGGAGACAGGUAGACGUAGACGGAGGGGAGUGAUGGGGGAGUAAGGAGGAAGUAGACGGACGGGAGUGAUGGGGGAGACAGGGGGAAGUAGACGGAGGGGAGUGAUGGGGGAGUAAGGAGGAAGUAGACGGACGGGAGUGAUGGGGGAGACAGGUCGACGUAGACGGAGGAGAGUGAUGGGGGAGACAGGUGGACGUAGAUGGAGGGGAGUGAUGGGGGAGACAGGUGGACGUAGAUGGAAGGGAGUGAUGGGGGAGACAGGUGGACGUAGAUGGAAGGGAGUGAUGGGAGAGACAGGUAGACGUAGACGGAGGGGAGUGAUGGGGGAGACAGGUGGACGUAGAUGGAAGGGAGUGAUGGGAGAGACAGGUAGACGUAGACGGAGGGGAGUGAUGGGGGAGACAGGUGGACGUAGAUGGAAGGGAGUGAUGGGGGAGUAAGGAGGAAGUAGACGGACGGGAGUGAUGGGGGAGACAGGAGGAAGUAGACGUAGGGGAGUGAUGUGGGAGACAGG